AGUUUUGAGCUAAAUAUAUUUUAAAUAUUAGUUAUUUUAUGAAGGUGUUGUAAAACCUUAUUAAAAAAUAUAUUUAGGGGUGAUAGGCUUUUCAAAAACUAAGAUAUCUUGAAUCUAAUUAAAAGUAUGUAGUACAUUAAAUACAACUAUUAAGUGAUUAGGCUUUAUAGAAUUAUUAACUUAUAAGAUUUUAUUUACUAUAAUUUAAUAUUUAAGUUCAUAAAUAUAUUAAUAUUCAUAUAUUUUAGUUUAUAAUAGAGUAAUUUGAUAGAUUUAAGUUUUUAUUUCUUAUAAUAAUGUUAAUAUUAGUAUUAAGUUUAUAUUUAUAUGAUGAACUCGGCAAAAAUAUUUCUCAACUGUUUAUCAAAAACAUAACUAUGUGAAUGAAUACAUAGCGGUUUCUGCUCAA
This 409-nucleotide ribosomal RNA is filed under the name Mandarina hahajimana. Its description in RNAcentral is "partial 16S ribosomal RNA". Lineage: Eukaryota; Metazoa; Mollusca; Gastropoda; Stylommatophora; Camaenidae. The record is from RNAcentral.